Molecule: long non-coding RNA, 276 nt
Filed under: Fukomys damarensis (Damara mole-rat)
Lineage: Eukaryota; Metazoa; Chordata; Mammalia; Rodentia; Bathyergidae
Description: lncRNA (ENSFDAG00000023719.1)
Source: RNAcentral
GAAAAUAUCGUAUGGGGCAAAAGUGGGUCAAGGAGAGCAGGAAUAAUUACCAUGGAGUAUGGGAAACACUUUGAGGUUACUUUCGUGUGUGGUAUACGUUAGCCAUGCUGUAAAAAUGCUACCUUUACAGGAGCCAAAGAACAAAUGAGUAUUGAUUUGAGGGCCAGAAUCCAUCACUUUUAAGUAGGGCUUCAUUCAGUAGCCUUAAAGGAUCAGAAGGGAAGAGUCUACAUAGCUUUUUUGGAAAAUCCAAGGUCAAAGAAUCCAAAAUUGGCC